CAGCUAGUUGGUGAGGUAAUGGCUCACCAAGGCGACGAUCGAUAGCUGUUCUGAGAGGAAGAUCAGCCACACUGGGACUGAGACACGGCCCAGACUCCUACGGGAGGCAGCAGUUGGGAAUCUUGGACAAUGGGGGAAACCCUGAUCCAGCCAUGCCGCGUGAGUGAUGAAGGCCUUCGGGUUGUAAAACUCUUUCGACGGGGACGAUAAUGACGGUACCCGUAGAAGAAGCUCCGGCUAACUUCGUGCCAGCAGCCGCGGUAAUACGAAGGGGGCUAGCGUUGUUCGGAAUUACUGGGCGUAAAGCGCGCGCAGGCGGUUUUUCAAGUCAGUGGUGAAAGCCCGGAGCUCAACUCCGGAAAUGCCAUUGAAACUGUAAAACUUGAGGACGAGAGAGGUGAGUGGAAUUCCCAGUGUAGAGGUGAAAUUCGUAGAUAUUGGGAAGAACACCGGUGGCGAAGGCGGCUCACUGGCUCGUUUCAGACGCUC
This 489-nucleotide ribosomal RNA is filed under the name uncultured Alphaproteobacteria bacterium. Its description in RNAcentral is "SSU rRNA". It matches the Rfam family "Bacterial small subunit ribosomal RNA", at positions 242 to 748 of the family's 1533-position model. Lineage: Bacteria; Pseudomonadati; Pseudomonadota; Alphaproteobacteria. The record is from RNAcentral.